RNAcentral lists this ribosomal RNA (465 nucleotides) under Vreelandella stevensii. RNAcentral's name for it is "partial 16S ribosomal RNA". It matches the Rfam family "Bacterial small subunit ribosomal RNA", at positions 338 to 795 of the family's 1533-position model. The record is from RNAcentral. Lineage: Bacteria; Pseudomonadati; Pseudomonadota; Gammaproteobacteria; Oceanospirillales; Halomonadaceae.
CCUACGGGUGGCAGCAGUGGGGAAUAUUGGACAAUGGGCGAAAGCCUGAUCCAGCCAUGCCGCGUGUGUGAAGAAGGCCUUCGGGUUGUAAAGCACUUUCAGUGGGGAAGAAAGCCUUGGGGCUAAUACCCUCGAGGAAGGACAUCACCCACAGAAGAAGCACCGGCUAACUCCGUGCCAGCAGCCGCGGUAAUACGGAGGGUGCGAGCGUUAAUCGGAAUUACUGGGCGUAAAGCGCGCGUAGGCGGUCUGAUAAGCCGGUUGUGAAAGCCCCGGGCUCAACCUGGGAACGGCAUCCGGAACUGUCAGGGGAGAGUGCAGGAGAGGAAGGUAGAAUUCCCGGUGUAGCGGUGAAAUGCGUAGAGAUCGGGAGGAAUACCAGUGGCGAAGGCGGCCUUCUGGACUGACACUGACGCUGAGGUGCGAAAGCGUGGGUAGCAAACAGGAUUAGAUACCCGUGUAGUC